Ciona intestinalis (vase tunicate) is the source of this 2681-nucleotide non-coding RNA. Lineage: Eukaryota; Metazoa; Chordata; Ascidiacea; Phlebobranchia; Cionidae. The record is from RefSeq and is a predicted model, not a curated record.
UGCGACUAAGCAGAAAAAUCUGUUUAAAAAUUCCCGUUGCUAGGGUAAACAAUCGGCGAAAUUGGCCCCAUUUGGUUGCCCUGUAAGAUUUCUAUGGUGAUGAAAUAACUCAUGUUUAUAUACGGACUCUGUAAAAAACUAAUUCAUAAGCAUUUCUGGCAUCAUAGCAACAAUCAGUCCUAAUCUUUUUGCUUUUCGAAACUUUUAUGAUCUUCGUUACCGUAACUAAAACAAAAAAUCUUAUUUCGGAAAAUACUAACUAAACCUUUGCUGAUCUUACAGCACUGUUACAUCAUAGUAGCCAUUAUGACAGAAGCCAUUAGUAGUGUUGUUGGAUUUUCAUUGGACGAUAUCGCCGAGAUCGAUCCGUUUAAAACGACCUAUCAUCUUGUGUUCUUCCUCAUACUUUGUACGUUCGUUGGAGUUAUUUUCUUCAUGAUUGGAGUUGCAUUCUUGUACUCGUUCUGUGAAUGUCUUUGCUGUGAUGGGGGGGAAGAAGUGGUGGUCCAACAGAAACAAACGAAGAAAAAUAAAGUCCAUGCUCAACAGCGACAAGUUGAAAUACCUAGCUGGUGAAAAGUGUGACAAACAUUGUGAAGGUUAUGUUGUACAAAACAAAUAUUUCAUAUAUAUAUAAUACACUGAUUUAAACAAGUAUUAUUUGAUCUAUGUUUAUGUUUUGGUUUUAUUCCUAAUAGGACGGUUAAUGCACAACUACCAUUAUUAGGUUAUUUUUGUUUUAGCAGCCUGUAUUAUGUAGAUAUUACCUAAAAAGUAUGAAGCCAAAUGUAUAUGAUGUAUGAACCAAUUUUUAAAUAUAAUGUUACUAUUAUACUGGAAAGUUGCAACUGUUUUAAACUUUUUAACUUCUAUAAAAUGUGUUUUAAUAUUGCAAAGUUUUUGAAGUAUUGUUUGUAACAUAUUUUACUUUGUGAAGCCAUAAUGUACCUACUGUGAUGUCAUAGUGAUUUAAAUAUUCAAACAUGCCUGAGUUCAUCUGUUCUGUAUAUUUGUUUGUUUAAUGAUUUGUAUUUAUUGUUGCCACCUUUAAUAAUAUGCCAAACUACUUUUUAAAAAAUUCCGUCAUUAUAUAUUUAAGUGUUAAUUAAUAUCAUUCCUGUUUUGCUAAGGUUUUUAAAGCUUACUGAUACAUAAGUACGUUUGCAUGUUCAUAUUGUUUAUAUAAGUUUGCACUAGAUUUUAAAACAUUUUAGCUUUUUCAUAUGAAGCCAUUUAUUUCAUUUUAAUGCUUGCCUAGGCCCACCUAUAUGUUACAAACUUAUUUAAACUUUAGCUUUCCAUGCCUUCUAUACAACAUACAAGCAUGUCUUGCCACUGUGGAACUUUGGUGCUAAGUGUUAAACACAACCAUAAUGCAUACAGAUAGUUAAUAUAAUAUUUAAACCGGUAUAGUCAAUCUAAUAUUUAAAUUUAAACCAGUGUAGUCAAACCAUUGUGUUAUUUUUAUCACUAAGUGUUGUUCUUGUCAAGGUUUUCAGUUAAUACCAAUAUAGUGGAACUAUGGUGUUGUUGUUUUUCUUGUAUAUAUAGUUUAUCUUUACACAAAGUUUUCAUACACAAAGUUUUUCCUGUUUUACAGAUUUUAUAUAUACCCUGUACCUUGAAACAUAGAGAUGUCAAACUUAAACACAGACAUCAUAAACAACGCUCUUACGAAUGUGGUCGGUUUCACACUUGAUGACAUCGCUAAGAUUGAACCGUUUAAGGAUACUUACAGCACUGUAUGGUUCGGUAUCUUUAUUGCUUUCAUUGGAAUGUUUGGCGUGUUGUUCGCGAUUGCUUUCCUUUAUUCGUUCUGCGACUGUGUGUGUUCAUGCUGCAGGAGGUCGGAACCCAAACCUCAUAAACGAAGAAACAAUAAAGUCAAGAACGGGUCAGAUAACAUUGGGAUGGGAGAAAUACAUUAGGACAACCUAAGGAUCAAAUCUAAAGUUUUAACAAAUUAUUAGGAUAACAAAGUUUUUUAUUGACGUUUUUUUUUGAAUUAAUGUUUUUAUACCCAAAGAGCUAAAAAGACUGUUAUACAUUAUGCCUGGUAGCGGAAACCACACAAUAUAAGAAAAAUCAUUUACUUGAGUUGUGAACAAUUUAUAUUAAUUAGUGCAUUAAACAUAACCGCUGUAAUGUUUCAUAUAUCUACACAUUCCAAUCUAUGUAUAUUGCUUUGCUUUUAGAUGUCUUCAUUUUAACUUUUAUCAUUGCAAUCUUAUUGUUUUAGAAUCACAAGUUUCUUUGUUUAAAACAAUUGCACUGUUUGUUCCAUUAUUACAAUGUAUAUUUGUAUUAUGACAUCACACUGCUCUCACAUACAUCACAGAAUAUGUAAUUAACAUAUUAUGACGUGAUAAAAAAAUUUCUUUCUUCACUGCAGAAAAAUUAAACUUAAUUUUUAGAAAUAAAAAGCAUUUUUAGAAAUAAGAAGAAUAUUGUUAACAAGUAUUGACAAAAACAGUUAGUCUACAUUGCAGACUACGUAAACAGUGCAAUUUUUUAAAUCUCUAAUUACAUUUUAAAAUUGUAUCUUCACAUACUGCCGGAAAAUAUAACUGCAAUGUUAGAUUAAGAAUCAAACAUUAAAACUGAAAUCGACGCCAAGUAGAAACAACUAGUCUAAAGUAAAAACACAGCAUCACCAUAAAGACUAUAAAGACAUCUUGAAA